RNAcentral lists this ribosomal RNA (1482 nucleotides) under uncultured Bordetella sp. RNAcentral's name for it is "partial 16S-23S ribosomal RNA intergenic spacer". It matches the Rfam family "Bacterial small subunit ribosomal RNA". The record is from RNAcentral. Lineage: Bacteria; Pseudomonadati; Pseudomonadota; Betaproteobacteria; Burkholderiales; Alcaligenaceae.
GGUUUGAUCAUGGCUCAGAUUGAACGCUGGCGGGAUGCUUUACACAUGCAAGUCGAACGCAGCACGGACUUCGGUCUGGUGGCGAGUGGCGAACGGGUGAGUAAUGUAUCGGAACGUGCCUAGUAGCGGGGGAUAACUACGCGAAAGCAGCUAAUACCGCAUACGCUCCCUUCGGGGAAAGCGGGGACCUUCGGGCCUCGCACUAUUAGAGCGGCUGAUAUCGGAUUAGCUAGUUGGUGGGAACGGCUCACCAAGGCGACGAUCCAGUGCUGGUUUGAGAGGACGACCAGCCACACUGGGACUGAGACACGGCCCAGACUCCUACGGAGGCAGCAGUGGGGAAUUUUGGACAAUGGGGAAACCCUGAUCCAGCCAUCCCGCGUGUGCGAUGAAGGCCUUCGGGUUGUAAAGCACUUUUGGCAGGAAAGAAACGGCACGGGAUAAUACCCCGUGCAACUGACGGUACCUGCAGAAUAAGCACCGGCUAACUACGUGCCAGCAGCCGCGGUAAUACGUAGGUGCAAGCGUUAAUCGGAAUUACUGGGCGUAAAGCGUGCGCAGGCGGUUCGGAAAGAAAGAUGAAAUCGCAGAGCUUAACUUUGGAACUGCAUUUUUAACUACCGAGCUAGAGUGUGUCAGAGGGAGGUGGAAUUCCGCGUGUAGCAGUGAAAUGCGUGAUAUGCGGAGGAACACGGAUGGCGAAGGCAGCCUCCUGGGAUAACACUGACGCUCAUGCACGAAAGCGUGGGGAGCAAACAGGAUUAGAUACCCUGGUAGUCCACGCCCUAAACGAUGUCAACUAGCUGUUGGGGAAGCCUCGGGCCUUCGGUAGCGCAGCUAACGCGUGAAGUUGACCGCCUGGGGAGUACGGUCGCAAGAUUAAAACUCAAAGGAAUUGACGGGGACCCGCACAAGCGGUGGAUGAUGUGGAUUAAUUCGAUGCAACGCGAAAAACCUUACCUACCCUUGACAUGUCUGGAAUCCCGAAGAGAUUUGGGAGUGCUCGCAAGAGAACCGGAACACAGGUGCUGCAUGAAGGUCGUCAGCUCGUGUCGUGAGAUGCUGGGUUAAGUCCCGCAACGAGCGCAACCCUUUGUCAUUAGUUGCUACGAAAGGGCACUCUAAUGAGACUGCCGGUGACAAAGUCCGGAGGAAGGUGGGAUGACGUCAAGUCCUCAUGGCCCUUAUGGGUAGGGCUUCACACGUCAUACAAUGGUCGGGACAGAGGGUCGCCAACCCGCGAGGGGGAGCCAAUCCCCAGAAACCCGAUCAGUCCGAUCGCAGUCUGCAACCUCGACUGCGUGAAGUCGGAAUCGCUAGUAAUCGCGUGAUCAGCAUGGUCGCGGUGAAUACGUUCCCGGGUCUUGUACACACUGCCCGUCACACCAUGGGAGUGGGUUUUACCAGAAGUAGUUAGCCUAACCGUAAGGAGGGCGAUUACCACGGUAGAUUCAUGACUGGGGUGAAGUCGUAACAAGGUAA